Astyanax mexicanus (Mexican tetra) is the source of this 54-nucleotide regulatory RNA element. It matches the Rfam family "UnaL2 LINE 3' element". Rfam says of the family: The eel long interspersed element (LINE) UnaL2 and its partner short interspersed element (SINE) share a conserved 3' tail containing a stem-loop that is critical for their retrotransposition. Presumably, the first step of retrotransposition is the recognition of their 3' tails by UnaL2-encoded reverse transcriptase. The record is from Rfam. Lineage: Eukaryota; Metazoa; Chordata; Actinopteri; Characiformes; Acestrorhamphidae.
UACAUCAUUAUUUGCAAGUCGCUUUGUAUAAAAGCGUCUGCUAAAUGUAAUGUA